GAUGAACUUUUUUGGGGUGGGGGUGACUUUACCUUCUAGGUUUGCUGCAACCUCAUUUAGAGAGAGUUGCCAUCAAUGCACUGCAGUUAUGUUGUUUGUUACUUCCCCCACCAAAUCGUAGACGGCUUCAACUUUUAAUGCGCAUGAUUUCUCGAAUGAGUCAAAAUGUUGAUAUGCCCAAACUCCAUGAUGUAAUGGGUACAAGAUCACUGGUAAGUUUAUUUCUUAUGGAAAUAAUAAAUUCUGGUUCGUAAUUUGUUUUGUGAAAAAACAAAUGAAAAAAGAAAACAAUCUAUCUUAAAGUACUACUCAAGUGAAUUCUGAUCUUGGAAGUUCUACAUUCCUGAGUUAGAAAGACUUAGAAAUUUAACUUUUCCUAGCAGCAAAUAUUUGUGUACUAAUCUUUUUGCCCAGUCUGUUAUACUUUUGUAUCCUGGUGUUAAUCUUGACAGAGGACUUUGCCUUCUCAUGCAUCCUAUAUAGCUUCCUAAUGAUAGAUCUACAGUCAGAUCACAUUAUGCUAGUUUGUGCCAAUUCUUUUUGGUGAGAAAAGAAGAGGAUGCUAUAUCAUAGAUAGUGUUUAACCCUUAAGGGUACUAGAGCUCUGUGAAAGUGGAGAACUAAAGAUAAAUCCAUUUAUAGUAAGUGUUUCAGAGUAUGGUGGGAGGAAAGGUAUAUUUGAUGAAUUAUGAUAGCAAGUCAUCAUGGUAGAAAAAGUUGGGAAACAUUAUUAUCAAGCAGUCUUAGGCUUCUUAGACAAUGAGGAUU
Molecule: long non-coding RNA, 768 nt
Filed under: Marmota monax (woodchuck)
Lineage: Eukaryota; Metazoa; Chordata; Mammalia; Rodentia; Sciuridae
Source: RNAcentral